UUCGGCUCGGUGGUGGAGUGGGACGCUGCACCAGGACUCGGGCGUGCUGCGCGUGGCCGUGAAAACCAUGAAACUCGCCGCCUGCUCGCGGGGGGAGCUGGAGGAUUUCCUGCGCGAGGCCGUGUGCAUGAAGGAGUUCGACCCACCCCAACGUCAUGAAGCUCAUCGGGGUCUGCCUGCAGCCGUGGGGGGGCAGCGCCGAGGGGCCCCCGCCCCCCCCCCAGCGUCCUCCUGCCCUUCAUGGCCCACGGGGACCUGCACAGCUUCCUGCUCGGCGCCCGCCUCGGGGAC
This is a long non-coding RNA of Melospiza melodia melodia, 291 nucleotides long. RefSeq lists it as uncharacterized. Lineage: Eukaryota; Metazoa; Chordata; Aves; Passeriformes; Passerellidae. The transcript has 3 exons. The record is from RefSeq and is a predicted model, not a curated record.